AUGGUGACCGCGACGGAAGGGGCGGGGGGACGGUGUGGCCGGGAAUCCCCACUGGGCAAAAUGAUUGGUGGUGGGUGGGUGAGAGGCUGUGAGGGGCCCUGGCUGGAUGUAGGGAGCUGCCUCAGUGAGUCUCAUACAUGCUCACACACAUGCACACACGUGUUACACACAUACACACAGAUACACACGCACAUCCUCACAUAUGCCCAGAUACACACAUACACACACACAGGCUCAGAUACACACAUGCACAAGACACACACACACGUGCUCACACACACGCACACACAUAUGCCCAGAUACACACGUGCACACACAGCACAUGUUCACCUACACAAUGCACACACCUGCACACAGACGCACACAUGCACGUGCUCACACACAGACACAUGUGCUCACACACAUGUACCCAUAUGCACACACAUACAGGUACCUGCGUGCGCACACAUGCACCCACUCCUGGGCACACAGGCAGCUCAGUCACUGGACCUCCUGCGUUACUUUCCCUUGGCCUGGACUCCCCCUUCCAGAACAUUCCUAGCUCCGGCACACUCUGUGAACCUGCCUUCCAGAUGGAUGAGCUCCUGGGACAGUCUGAGGCACCGGGCCAGGAGGCCCUGGCGGGGGAGGGCGGGGCCGCUGCCUUGGGCGGAGCCUCUGCCGGGGCCUCCCCGCAGGCAGGGCGGCUCCGGCUCCCCAGGUGUCUCAUCCGCCACAGCUCAGGUCCCUCCAUCUGCCGCGGGGCGGGCGCUGAGAACCGUCCUGUGGGGCGGGCUGUGCAGGAGACGCCCCUGCGGUGCUGCGUGGCCGCAGAUGGCACGGGCCCUUCCUCGGCCUCCCUCUCACUUCUGUCGGCUCCCGGGCUGCGGAGCAGGGGCUUGGGGGCCGCCCGGGGGCUGGCAGCCUCACAACAGAGGCUCUGGGCCGGGAGAACAGCACGUAAGGGCCCCCGUCCCGCAGGGCUGCGGUGCCUGGGCCAGCCUGCAGGGUGGGGGCAGGCAGGGAGCGCCGGGGAGCAGGGCGGGCUCAAGGGUCUGGCAGGGCAGGCUGCUUUCCCAGUGGCCUUUGCGUUUGCUAGCAAGGACCACAGAAAUUCCUUCACUGUCCUGCAGGCCGGAAGUGCGCAGCAGGGUGUCCCGGGCCAGGCUUCCUCUGAGAGCCCGGGUAGAGCCUGUGCCCGCCCCUCACGUUGCUGGUGGCUGUGCUGCAGUGCCUCACCCCCGACUCAGCACCCCCAACCCGCCCCCCCACCUUCUCCGGGUGUCUCCCCUCUUCCUAUCAGGACCCCCUCUGCACCUGCAAAGACCCUGCUCCCAAAUGAGGCCGGCUUCCCUGGCACUGGCCCUCAGGAUCGCGCCAUAG
Molecule: long non-coding RNA, 1362 nt
Filed under: Oryctolagus cuniculus (rabbit)
Lineage: Eukaryota; Metazoa; Chordata; Mammalia; Lagomorpha; Leporidae
Description: lncRNA (ENSOCUG00000037105.1)
Source: RNAcentral